GAAAUGCGAUAAUUAAUGUGAAUUGCAGAAUUCAGUGAAUCAUCGAGUCUUUGAACGCACAUUGCGCCCCCUGGUAUUCCGGGGGGCAUGCCUGUCCGAGCGUCAUUGCUGCCCUCAAGCACGGCUUGUGUGUUGGGCUUCCGUCCCUGGCAACGGGGACGGGCCCAACAGGCAGUGGCGGCACCAUGUCUGGUCCUCGAGCGUAUGGGGCUUUGUCACCCGCUCCCGUAGGUCCAGCUGGCAGCUAGCCUCGCAACCAAUCUUUUUAACCAGGUUGACCUCGGAUCAGGUAGGGAUACCCGCUGAACUUAAGC
RNAcentral lists this unclassified non-coding RNA (314 nucleotides) under plant metagenome. RNAcentral describes it as "partial contains 5.8S ribosomal RNA, internal transcribed spacer 2, and large subunit ribosomal RNA". The stretch from base 1 to 105 matches the Rfam family "5.8S ribosomal RNA", at positions 50 to 154 of the family's 154-position model. The record is from RNAcentral.